AGAGUUUGAUCAUGGCUCAGAACGAACGCUGGCGGCAUGGAUUAGGCAUGCAAGUCGAACGGUGCAGCAAUGCAUAGUGGCGCAAGGGUGAGGAACGGCGUGAGUAACCUGCCCUCAAGUUUGGGAACAGCUUCUGGAAACGGAAAUUAAUACCGAAUGUGACCAUAGGAAGGCAUCUUCUGUUGGUUAAGGCCGCAAGGUCGCUUGAGGAGGGGCUCGCGUCCCAGUUAUGCUAGUUGGUGAGGUAACGGCCCACCAAGGCGAAGAUGGGUAGCUGGUCUGAGAGGACGAUCAGCCACACUGGGACUGAGAACUGCCCAGACUCCUACGGGAGGCUGCAGUCGAGAAUUUUGGGCAAUGGACGAAAGUCUGACCCCAAGCAAUGCCGCGUGCGGGAUGAAGGUCUUCGGAUUGUAAACCGCUGUCAAGUGGGACGAAACAAAUGACGGUACCGCUGAAGGAAGUCACGGCUAACUACGUGCCAGCAGCGGC
RNAcentral lists this ribosomal RNA (492 nucleotides) under uncultured bacterium. RNAcentral's name for it is "bacterial SSU rRNA". It matches the Rfam family "Bacterial small subunit ribosomal RNA", at positions 8 to 518 of the family's 1533-position model. The record is from RNAcentral.